This 294-nucleotide ribosomal RNA is filed under the name Triticum aestivum (bread wheat). RNAcentral describes it as "partial small subunit ribosomal RNA". Lineage: Eukaryota; Viridiplantae; Streptophyta; Magnoliopsida; Poales; Poaceae. The record is from RNAcentral.
AUGGGUGCUGGCCUCUAUGGCUACCUAGAUCAAACAAUUGAAGAACCACAAAAAACCCUCACCACCAAGAACGCCGAAGGGAAGGAUCAGGUUGCCUCAAACCCUGCCUACUCCCAAUGGCUCAUCCAAGACCAAUAGAUCGUCGCUUACCUCCUCAAAAAUCUAUCCAAAGAAGUACUUGUCCAAGUUGCUUCGCUUGAAAAAUCGCAUGCGAUAUGGACCGCGCUCGGGAACAUGUUCUCGGACAUGUCUCUCUCGCGCGCCAACAACAUACGGGUCGCCAUCACCAAUGCC